CCGGCGACCGGCGCACGGGUGAGUAACACGUAUGCAACCUGGCCGUGACAGAUGGAUAACCGGGAGAAAUCCCGCCUAAUACAACAUAAUGCUGGGAGGGGACAUCCCCUGCCGGCCAAAGGGGGCGACCCCGGUCACGGAUGGGCAUGCGGCGCAUUAGGUAGUUGGUGGGGCAACGGCCCACCAAGCCGACGAUGCGUAGGGGUUCUGAGAGGAAGGUCCCCCACAUUGGAACUGAGACACGGUCCAAACUCCUACGGGAGGCAGCAG
This 270-nucleotide ribosomal RNA is filed under the name uncultured bacterium. RNAcentral's name for it is "partial 16S ribosomal RNA". It matches the Rfam family "Bacterial small subunit ribosomal RNA", at positions 88 to 354 of the family's 1533-position model. The record is from RNAcentral.